This 372-nucleotide ribosomal RNA is filed under the name Larus dominicanus. RNAcentral describes it as "12S mitochondrial ribosomal RNA". It matches the Rfam family "Bacterial small subunit ribosomal RNA", at positions 848 to 1379 of the family's 1533-position model. Lineage: Eukaryota; Metazoa; Chordata; Aves; Charadriiformes; Laridae. The record is from RNAcentral.
NAUGCUUGCCGUACCAAAGCAUCCGCCCGAGAACUACGAGCACAAACGCUUAAAACUCUAAGGACUUGGCGGUGCCCCAAACCCAUCUAGAGGAGCCUGUUCUAUAAUCGAUAACCCACGAUUCACCCGACCACCUCUCGCCAAAGCAGCCUACAUACCGCCGUCGCCAGCUCACCUUCCCUGAAAGCCCAAUAGUGAGCACAAUAGCCUAACCUGCUAGUAAGACAGGUCAAGGUAUAGCCCAUGAGGUGGAAGAAAUGGGCUACAUUUUCUACGAUAGAAAACCCACGAAAGGGGGUAUGAAACAGCCCCCGGAAGGCGGAUUUAGCAGUAAAGCGGGACAAUAAAGCCCUCUUUAAGUUGGCCCUGGGG